Molecule: long non-coding RNA, 302 nt
Organism: Cuculus canorus (common cuckoo)
Lineage: Eukaryota; Metazoa; Chordata; Aves; Cuculiformes; Cuculidae
Exons: 3
Source: RefSeq, a predicted model, not a curated record
CGACACAUAAAGAAGAGUCUCUGUGUACAGACUUGGUCUUCUGUCCUGCCAGAGAUCCUUCUGCCCCUGUGCCCUUGUGAGGCAUCAGGUCUUUGGGAUAAGACUAGAGAAGAAGAAAGAAGAAGGAAUAUGAAGGUGGAUGAAUUCAUGAACUUUGAUCCUUACACAGAUGUCAUUUGAAGCCUCCUACAGAAAAUAUUACUUCUCCAAGCUUAAACCCUGCAGGGCCAUGAAAGUGUUACAUUUGGUCUCCAGGGCACUGCUGAACAAUUACUGCUGCUCAACUUAUUUCUCAUCUGUGC